This 252-nucleotide ribosomal RNA is filed under the name uncultured bacterium. RNAcentral describes it as "partial 16S ribosomal RNA". It matches the Rfam family "Bacterial small subunit ribosomal RNA", at positions 524 to 776 of the family's 1533-position model. The record is from RNAcentral.
UACGUAGGGUGCGAGCGUUAAUCGAAUUACUGGGCGUAAAUCGUGCGCAGGCGGUUUUGUAAGCCAGAUGUGAAAUCCCCGGGCUUAACCUGGGAAUGGCAUUUGGGACUGCAAGGCUGGAGUUUGGCAGAGGAGACUGGAAUUCCUGGUGUAGCAGUGAAAUGCGUAGAUAUCAGGAGGAAUACCGAUGGCGAAGGCAGGUCUCUGGGCUGAAACUGACGCUCAUGCACGAAAGCGUGGGGAGCAAACAGG